This 199-nucleotide ribosomal RNA is filed under the name uncultured Leptolinea sp. RNAcentral describes it as "partial 16S ribosomal RNA". It matches the Rfam family "Bacterial small subunit ribosomal RNA", at positions 1184 to 1382 of the family's 1533-position model. Lineage: Bacteria; Bacillati; Chloroflexota; Anaerolineae; Anaerolineales; Anaerolineaceae. The record is from RNAcentral.
GUCAAGUCAGCAUGGCCUUUAUGUCCUGGGCUACACACACGCUACAAUGGCCAACACAAUAGGUUGCUAAGCCGCGAGGUGGAGCCAAUCCUCAAAGUUGGUCUCAGUUCAGAUUGCAGGCUGCAACCCGCCUGCAUGAAGAUGGAGUUGCUAGUAACCGCAGGUCAGCUAUACUGCGGUGAAUACGUUCCCGGGGCUU